AUGAAAAUUAAAUGGCCGCAGUACCCUGACUGUGCUAAGGUAGCGUAAUCAGUUGGCUUUUAAAUGAAGUCGAGAAUGAAUGGGUCUACGGGAACAAGCUGUCUCCUUUUGUAUCAGUGAAUUUGUUUAAAAGGUGAAAAUCCCUUUAAUUAGAAAAAAGACGAGAAGACCCUUAGAGUUUUAAUAAAAAUUACAUAUUGUAAUUCUUUUUUGCUGGGGCGGCAAGGAGUACAACUAAACUCUCCUAUUAAAACUCGAAGACGUAACUUUUAAGAACCAUUAAACUACCUUAGGGAUAACAGCAUAAUUAAUUAUUAGUUUGUGACCUCGAUGUUGGACUAGGAAUAAUUUUUGGUUAGAAGCCAAAAGUAACGUUCUGUUCGAACCUU
RNAcentral lists this ribosomal RNA (389 nucleotides) under Paromoionchis boholensis. RNAcentral describes it as "partial 16S ribosomal RNA". It matches the Rfam family "Bacterial large subunit ribosomal RNA", at positions 1911 to 2589 of the family's 2925-position model. Lineage: Eukaryota; Metazoa; Mollusca; Gastropoda; Systellommatophora; Onchidiidae. The record is from RNAcentral.